Molecule: ribosomal RNA, 495 nt
Filed under: uncultured bacterium
Lineage: Bacteria
Description: bacterial SSU rRNA
Rfam family: Bacterial small subunit ribosomal RNA
Source: RNAcentral
AGGUGCUGCAUGGCCGUCGUCAGCUCGUGUCGUGAGAUGUUUGGUUAAGUCCAGCAACGAGCGCAACCCCUGUUGCCAGUUACCAGCACGUGAAGGUGGGGACUCUGGCGAGACUGCCCAGAUCAACUGGGAGGAAGGUGGGGACGACGUCAGGUCAGUAUGGCCCUUAUGCCCAGGGCUGCACACGUACUACAAUGCCCAGUACAGAGGGGGCCGAAGCCGCGAGGCGGAGGAAACCCUAAAAACUGGGCCCAGUUCGGACUGUAGGCUGCAACCCGCCUACACGAAGCCGGAAUCGCUAGUAAUGGCGCAUCAGCUACGGCGCCGUGAAUACGUUCCCGGGUCUUGUACACACCGCCCGUCACAUCAUGGAAGCCGGUCGCACCCGAAGUAUCUGAAGCCAACCGCAAGGAGGCAGGGUCCUAAGGUGAGACUGGUAACUGGGAUGAAGUCGUAACAAGGUAGCCGUAGGGGAACCUGCGGUUGGAUCACCUC